GGCUUAGAGUUUGAUCAUGGCUCAGGAUGAACGCCGGCGGCGUGCCUACACAUGCAAGUCGAACGAAGCGCCUUUUGAGAUUCUUCGGAUGAUCAUUUGGUGACUGAGUGGCGGACGGGUGAGUAACGCGUGGGUAACCUGCCCUGUACAGGGGGAUAACAGCCAGAAAUGGCUGCUAAUACCGCAUAAGCGCACAUGAGGACAUCCUCAAGUGUGAAAAACUCCGGUGGUACAGGAUGGGCCCGCGUCUGAUUAGCUGGUUGGCGGGGUAAGGGCCCACCAAGGCGACGAUCAGUAGCCGGUCUGAGAGGAUGAACGGCCACAUUGGAACUGAGACACGGUCCAAACUCCUACGGGAGGCAGCAGUGGGGAAUAUUGCACAAUGGGGGAAACCCUGAUGCAGCAACGCCGCGUGAGUGAAGAAGUAUUUCGGUAUGUAAAGCUCUAUCAGCAGGGAAGAUAAUGACGGUACCUGACUAAGAAGCUCCGGCUAAAUACGUGCCAGCAGCCGCGGUAAUACGUAUGGGGCAAGCGUUAUCCGGAUUUACUGGGUGUAAAGGGUGCGUAGGCGGCACAGCAAGUCAGAUGUGAAAGACCGGGGCUCAACCCCGGGGCUGCAUUUGAAACUGCCGAGCUCGAGUCCGGGAGAGGCAGGCG
RNAcentral lists this ribosomal RNA (657 nucleotides) under uncultured organism. RNAcentral's name for it is "bacterial SSU rRNA". It matches the Rfam family "Bacterial small subunit ribosomal RNA", at positions 1 to 663 of the family's 1533-position model. The record is from RNAcentral.